RNAcentral lists this ribosomal RNA (1101 nucleotides) under Klebsiella pneumoniae. Its description in RNAcentral is "partial 23S ribosomal RNA". It matches the Rfam family "Bacterial large subunit ribosomal RNA", at positions 398 to 1506 of the family's 2925-position model. Lineage: Bacteria; Pseudomonadati; Pseudomonadota; Gammaproteobacteria; Enterobacterales; Enterobacteriaceae. The record is from RNAcentral.
UGUGAACUCGAAGAGUAGGGCGGGACACGUGGUAUCCUGUCUGAAUAUGGGGGGACCAUCCUCCAAGGCUAAAUACUCCUGACUGACCGAUAGUGAACCAGUACCGUGAGGGAAAGGCGAAAAGAACCCCGGCGAGGGGAGUGAAAAAGAACCUGAAACCGUGUACGUACAAGCAGUGGGAGCACCUUCGGGUGUGACUGCGUACCUUUUGUAUAAUGGGUCAGCGACUUAUAUUCUGUAGCAAGGUUAACCGUAUAGGGGAGCCGCAGGGAAACCGAGUCUUAACUGGGCGUUAAGUUGCAGGGUAUAGACCCGAAACCCGGUGAUCUAGCCAUGGGCAGGUUGAAGGUUGGGUAACACUAACUGGAGGACCGAACCGACUAAUGUUGAAAAAUUAGCGGAUGACUUGUGGCUGGGGGUGAAAGGCCAAUCAAACCGGGAGAUAGCUGGUUCUCCCCGAAAGCUAUUUAGGUAGCGCCUCGUGAACUCAUCUUCGGGGGUAGAGCACUGUUUCGGCUAGGGGGUCAUCCCGACUUACCAACCCGAUGCAAACUACGAAUACCGAAGAAUGUUAUCACGGGAGACACACGGCGGGUGCUAACGUCCGUCGUGAAGAGGGAAACAACCCAGACCGCCAGCUAAGGUCCCAAAGUCAUGGUUAAGUGGGAAACGAUGUGGGAAGGCACAGACAGCCAGGAUGUUGGCUUAGAAGCAGCCAUCAUUUAAAGAAAGCGUAAUAGCUCACUGGUCGAGUCGGCCUGCGCGGAAGAUGUAACGGGGCUAAACCAUGCACCGAAGCUGCGGCAGCGACACUAUGUGUUGUUGGGUAGGGGAGCGUUCUGUAAGCCUGCGAAGGUGUGCUGUGAGGCAUGCUGGAGGUAUCAGAAGUGCGAAUGCUGACAUAAGUAACGAUAAAGCGGGUGAAAAGCCCGCUCGCCGGAAGACCAAGGGUUCCUGUCCAACGUUAAUCGGGGCAGGGUGAGUCGACCCCUAAGGCGAGGCCGAAAGGCGUAGUCGAUGGGAAACAGGUUAAUAUUCCUGUACUUGGUGUUACUGCGAAGGGGGGACGGAGAAGGCUAUGUUAGCCGGGCGACGGUUGUC